Long non-coding RNA from Ictalurus punctatus (channel catfish), 4510 nucleotides. The record is from Ensembl. Lineage: Eukaryota; Metazoa; Chordata; Actinopteri; Siluriformes; Ictaluridae.
CUGAAAGUCUGUAAAUGUUGGCAGUAAACCUGAUUUGCAAUGGAGGUUGAAUCAUUUUGAUUGCAACUGUAUGUAAAUGACCUCUGUUCUGACCUCCUUGCAAAUUAUACACAUAAUUAUAUACUAUACAUUCACCAUCCAUUGGAUUAAAGUGAAUCCAAUCAGCCAAUCAUGUGGAAGCAGCACAAUGCAUAAAAUCAUGCAGAUACAGGUCAAGAGCUUCAGUUAAUGUUCACAUCAAACAUCAGAAUGAAGAAAAAAUGUGAUCUCUGUGACUUUAACCAUGGCAUGGUUGUUGGUACCAGAAGGGCUGAUCUGAGUAUUUCAGAAACUCUCUCUACACAGAGUGGUGCGAAUAGCAAAAACUAUGAGUGAGGGACAGAUCUGUGGGUGGAAACACCUUGUUUAUAAGAGAAGUCAGAGGAAAAUGGCUAGAUUGGUUACAGCUGCCAGAGUAAACCACUUGUAUUGAAAAGAUAAAUAGUGGCAUAAACAUCAGUUUAUGUUUACACAGCAUUUGUUUAUCAGUUCCAUCAGGAUUUUGCGAUUUUGCAAUCGCAGAAAUGAAUGCAAAAAUCAAGCAUUAUUCUCUUUAAUAUUCAGAAGAGUUUGCAAUUUUUCAAAAUUACAGCAGAUUUGGGCCAAGACACGUUAUGUGACAUCAUCGCAACAUGUAUUCAAGCCAAACUCUCUUUGAUUAACGUGCAUUGAACAGGAGUACAGCUAAUUGUCACAAUUACCAACAAACAUCACUGUGAAAGACUGACGAGGGGGGGGGGGGGGGGCUAAACGUGAUACUGCAGUACUGCAGUCAUGCUUCUGUUUUUACACUUCCUGUGCCUAGCUAACAGUGAUGUGAUAGUACAGGAGAUCAGACAUAAAAAUCACAAAUGAAAUAAGUUUUCAGGAAAGAUACAUUUUUAUCACACAGCUUGCCCUGAUGAGUGGAGACCUCUCUUCUUCUGGAGUUUCAGCCAAAAUUCACUGAACCUGUGAGCUGACAUCUUGGCUUGGUGGAUUUUCUCCCUUUAGUUGGGCAAUGCAAGUAUGGGCAGCCAAACAUGUGCGUAUUGAUAUUUUUUUCUUGCUCUGUGUAACUAAAGUAAAUCUGCUGAGUUUAAAUAAAAUAAAAAAUAUAAUGUAUUGUUUUUUUUUUCUUGGUUAAACUACAGCCAGGCCAUCUGAUCAGCAACCUUUAUUAGAUCAUACAGAUGAAGGUGAAUUAAACAAAUAUCUUUUUUUUUAAAUACUCUUAUAUCCCUGCAUUAAAUUUCAAAGUAGUAGCAGGUUCCAUGAGUUAAUAUGUAAUCAACUGUAAAUCUCUAUUUUCUUUAUAAACAGUACCACUCAUUGAGAAGAUCUCAGUUGUGGUUAUGGGACCUCAUGGAGUUGGAAAGAAUACAGUUGGGAAUGCUAUUCUUAAAAAGAAAGCCUUCACAUUCCAGGAUAGAUCUAAAAACUAUUACUUGAAGGAGGAAAACACAACAUUUGACAGACAUGUUUCUGUCAUUCGUGUCCCAGGCUGGUCUGCAGAUUUAACCUCUGAAAACAAUAUACAACUUUGGCAAGUGAUUAAAGACAGUCUGAGGUCAGUUGAUGAUGGACCCCAUGCUAUUAUACUGGUUGUUAAUAUGAACACUGAAACUGUAGAGACCACAAAAGAGAAAUUAAAACAACUCCUGGGUGAUAAUGUUUUCCAGCAUAUUUUAAUCGCUUCAGUGGACAGAAAAAACAUUGUGGUUUGUCACAGUGAAAGAAAACAAACUGUCAUUAACAGAUGUAAAUAUCACUUAUUUGUAAGAUGCACAUGUGGACAGCAAAAUAAAAAGUUCAUUGAAACAAUUGAAGAUUUUAUUGUAUAUAAGGAAGACAUUCGUUUCUACACUGUGAGGAAAAAGGCACAAAAAAUGGAAUUGCAGCAUCAGGACCUGGCUAACCUUGUAGAUGGAUUAAACCACAAAAUUUCAGCUCUCUCAUGUUCCAAGGAUUCCAAUGAGCAUGUAAUACAAUCACAAAAAGCUGAAAUAAAGGAACUACAACGUCUGCUGAAAGAAAAGGAGCAUAUGUUGAGAGCCAAGGAGGAGGAGAUAAAAAGUUUAAAGUCAAAUCAAAAUCACACAAAGCUCUCUGCCCUGCACAAACAGCUUGAGCAUGCAGCAAUGAAAGAAAAAAAGCUUCAAGGAAUGGUUGGUGAAAUGAAAAAAAAUCUUGAAGAAAAAAAUAAAGAGAUAAAAGAACUGAGAAAAGAAAUCAAGCAUUGAAAUCUCAAAAUGAAAAUAAAAAAAGCACAAAACCACCAUCCAUGACUGGACGAAUGCAGAAGCCUACUAAUUCAGUUGAAUUAAUCCCCCUGAUCUCAACAGAAACAUUGAGCAGUGAAGCACCUCAAGCCAGUGAAGUCCACAGAGUUUCUGAAGAAAAACCGCAAAGAACUCAUUGAAAGAAUUGUGGCAGUGAAGCCCAUUGCUGAUGAACUGUUUCCAUUUAUCAACCAAUAUAAAUAUGAGAAGAUUCUACAGGCUCCAUCUGAGUAUGAGCAAAGGAGACAGCUCUACGACAUAAUGGAUAAAGGUGGAAAGAAAUUGCAAUUUGAGUUUUACAAAUGCCUGUUAAAACAUGAGAAAUAUCUUGUUGAAGACUUAGAGGAGUCACCAUAAAAUACAAAGUACUGGUAAGACUAAAGAAUGUGAAGGUCCAGUUACCAAAAUAGACAUAAUUUCUUUUCUGGGGGAAAAAAUUACACAUGAGAUGAACAACUGCCAGUCCAUCACUGGACACCUUGCACACAUGCAUUCACAUGAAAAGGCAAUACAGUGCAGCUAAUCCGUGUACCUGCCUGUUUUUGGACAAUGGGAGGAAACCCCUGCGAAUAUGGGGAGAACAUGCCAAACUCUGCACAUACAAUAACUCAGUCAAGAUACAUUCAAGAUCAGUGUAGGGUAAAUUACUCUAAAAAGUAAUCCACUAAAGAUUACUAAUGACUACUUUAAAAUUGUAAUCUUAUUACAAUACUGAUUACUAAGUACUUUACUUUCACAUUACUUUCAAAACCUACAUACCUACAAAAAUACACUACAAAUUGAAACUCAGUUCUUUCAGCACUUUUAGCGCAUAUCAAUGUAUGACACGAUCAGAAAAAUUUGGAUUUAUCAUAAAAGUUGCCUCAGGUGUUGUCACUAUUUGUAGGAAUACCAGACCGAUAAAAUAUAAAGCUUUUCUAACUUAUCUAGUUUGGUAUUGCUAAGCUAAGCUAUCACUGUAUGGGUGUAAGCUAUCACUGUAAGCUAUAGCUAAGCUAACACGGUAUGGGUUUAGCUGCUACAGUGCUAUGAAAAGUACAUUAUCCUUCCUUAUGCUCUGCUCAUAUCAUUUUCCCGUGAACUGGAACUCAUAUAGACAUUUACACACCUUGUUUUCCUGAUCAGCAUCAGAGGAUGCUACUGUUUCAAUUUCAACCCCUUUACUGGUUAAAAAAAUCGGCGUAUAUCCAUUUUUCCUCAGACUGACUGUAAAUUAGCGCUUGGCAGAAUUGAGAGUUGUCAGCCAAUAAGACACAAUAAUUUCUAUGUAUUUUCCUGUAAACCGUGUGUGGGCCAUACCAGCAAAAGCCUUCAUCGAGCCUGUAAUCAGUCACACCAUUAAAAUUAGAUCAUGGCAGAUUUUGAAGGACUCAGACUCUUUGUCUGAACACCUAACCAGUCUGUCUAUCUCUGUGUUUGAAAAGUCACAGUAAAACGUUAUACCCCUCAAUUUCUUUGAAUUUCUACCUGGUCACCAAACUCAGUAAAUUCCUGUCAAUUUCAUAGUAACAUUAAUACAUCAUAUGCCGAAGAGAACAUUUAUUUAUUUGUUCACUUUUUCUAGCAUUUUUCUAACGCCCAAGAAAAAUAAGAAGAAUACUGUGGGAAGAGACAUAGAACUCAUGUAAUGAGGAGUUGUGGUACAGUUGGGGUUGUGGUUUGCUGAAAACAUGGCAUAUCUCAGUUAUGUGUUUUUCUGACCCUGAAAGUAAGCCCAUUUACCUUCCAUGAUAUCAUCUCAAGUGAGGAGCACUAUUAUGUCCAGCACCCCUGAAUGACAGUUUGAAUUAAUCACAAUAUAUCAUAUUUUUAAGUUGUGGAAAUUGAAAAGAAACUCAAUAAGUCUAGGUAAUGCCAUUUGAUCCAACAUUAAAUAUACAAAAGUGACACUAUGAAUUAAUUAAUAGGUUUGUCCCUUUAAAGUCCACAAAAACUACAUAGGAGGUGAUGGCAUUGGAGACAUAGCUUAUCUUAGUGACUGUAUUAUUUUUUUUUUUAUGGAUAAAACUGCAAACAAUACUUUUAUUUGUGUGUAAGCAGAUGAGUGUCUGUCCUUUAAACUGUGGUCAUGUAAACUGUAUUAAAAUUCCACAACUCAAAAUAUUGAAUAAAAAUAUGCAACAUAAUAGAAUGUGAAUAUUGCAAACCAUUUUUUGUCAUGUAUCACUCUGCGAUAUCUACAAGAAAGCUAAUAAAAUAAUUUCAACUGA